This 376-nucleotide long non-coding RNA is filed under the name Amborella trichopoda. Its description in RNAcentral is "long non-coding RNA (ATRI_LNC001772)". The record is from RNAcentral. Lineage: Eukaryota; Viridiplantae; Streptophyta; Magnoliopsida; Amborellales; Amborellaceae.
GUGGUUACCGAAAAUAGCUUUCCCAGUUCGAGAUUGAAGCUAGACUGCUGAUCCCGCACCAUUGGAUGUGGCGAUUCGGUGUGGGGUGUAAAAAGCCCAGUUGAGGUAAUCGCCGGCAUCUUUUCUUUUAAUUGUUUGUUCUUUUAUUUUAUAUUCUCAAGCACAGUAUUAGGUUGUCUGAAUGACAUCAAGUAGUUGAGAUUUAUUUUAUUGAUGUUUUAUUUAUUUUUGGAAUUUCUAUUGUUUGUAAUAAGACCACCUGUGAGUGAUCUUGUUGCCAAAAUUAUAAGGGGUGAUUAUUAUUUAAAAAAAAAAAUGUAUGUCCUCAUCAUAAGAUUACAUAGGUCUUUCUUUCUAAAGUGUAUUUCGUAUGGAG